AUUGAACGCUGGCGGCGUGCUUAACACAUGCAAGUCGAUCGGUAACAGGUGUAGCAAUACAUGCUGACGAGAGGCGGACGGGUGAGUAAUGCUUGGGAAUCUGCCUAUUAGUGGGGGACGAACCCGGGGAAACGUCGGGCUAAUACCGCAUACGCUCUACGGAGGAAAGCCGGGGACCGCAAGGCCUGGCGCUAAUAGAUGAGCCCAAGUCGGAUUAGCUAGUUGGUAGGGAACGGCCUACCAAGGCGACAAUCCGUAGCUGGUCUGAGAGGACGACCAGCCACACCGGAACUGAGACACGGUCCGGACUCCUACGGGAGGCAGCAGUGGGGAAUAUUGGACAAUGGGGCGAACCCUGAUCCAGCGACGCCGCGUGGGUGAAGAAGGCC
Molecule: ribosomal RNA, 389 nt
Filed under: uncultured bacterium
Lineage: Bacteria
Description: bacterial SSU rRNA
Rfam family: Bacterial small subunit ribosomal RNA
Source: RNAcentral